CAGCAGCCGCGGUAAAACGGAGGGUGCAAGCGUUAAUCGGAAUUACUGGGCGUAAAGCGCACGCAGGCGGUCUGUCAAGUCGGAUGUGAAAUCCCCGGGCUCAACCUGGGAACUGCAUUCGAAACUGGCAGGCUAGAGUCUUGUAGAGGGGGGUAGAAUUCCAGGUGUAGCGGUGAAAUGCGUAGAGAUCUGGAGGAAUACCGGUGGCGAAGGCGGCCCCCUGGACAAAGACUGACGCUCAGGUGCGAAAGCGUGGGGAGCAAACAGGAUUAGAUACCCCUGUAGUCCCUGUCUCUUAUAC
RNAcentral lists this ribosomal RNA (301 nucleotides) under uncultured bacterium. RNAcentral's name for it is "partial 16S ribosomal RNA". It matches the Rfam family "Bacterial small subunit ribosomal RNA", at positions 509 to 807 of the family's 1533-position model. The record is from RNAcentral.